AUGUCACCACAAACAGAAAUUAAAGCAGAUGUUGGAUUUCAAGCCGGUGUUAAAGAUUAUAAAUUGACUUACUACACCCCAGAGUAUGAAACUAAAGAUACUGAUAUCUUGGCAGCAUUCCGAGUAAGUCCUCAGCCUGGGGUUCCGCCCGAAGAAGCAGGGGCUGCAGUAGCUGCCGAAUCUUCUACUGGUACAUGGAUAACUGUUUGGACUGAUGUCUUGAUAGGGGAAGACAACCAAUGGAUCUGUUAUGUAGCUUAUCCAUUAGACCUAUUUGAAGAGGGUUCCGUUACUAACAUGUUUACUUCCAUUGUAAGUAACGUAUUUGGUUUCAAAUCCCUACGUGCUCUACGUUUGGAGGAUCUACGAAUUCCCCCUACUUAUUCAAAAACUUUCCAAGGCCCGCCUCAUGGUAUCCAAGCUGAAAGAGAUAAGUUGAACAAGUAUGGUCGUCCUUUAUUGGGAUGUACUAUCAAACCAAAAUUGGGAUUAUCCGCAAAAAAUUAUGGUAGAGCGUGUUAUGAGUGUCUACGUGGUGGACUUGAUUUUACAAAAGAUGAUGAAAACGUAAACUCACAACUAUUUAUGCGCCGGAGAGAUCGUUUUGCCUUUUGUGCCGAAGCUAUUUAUAAAUCACAAGCCGAUACCGGUGAAAUCAAGGGGCAUUACUUGAAUGCGACUGCAGGUACAUGUGAAGAAAUGAUUAAGAGAGCUGUAUUUGCAAGAGAAUUAGCGGUUCCUAUUGUAAUGCAUGACUACUUAACUGGGGGAUUCACCGCAAAUACUACUUUGGCUCAUUAUUGCCGCGACAAUGGCCUACUUCUUCACAUUUACCGUGCAAUGCAUGCAGUUAUAUGCAGUUAUUGA
This 867-nucleotide ribosomal RNA is filed under the name Triticum aestivum (bread wheat). RNAcentral's name for it is "partial small subunit ribosomal RNA". Lineage: Eukaryota; Viridiplantae; Streptophyta; Magnoliopsida; Poales; Poaceae. The record is from RNAcentral.